Ailuropoda melanoleuca (giant panda) is the source of this 1054-nucleotide long non-coding RNA. RefSeq lists it as uncharacterized. The record is from RefSeq and is a predicted model, not a curated record. Lineage: Eukaryota; Metazoa; Chordata; Mammalia; Carnivora; Ursidae. The transcript has 2 exons.
GAGUGGGAGAGGAAGAAGCAGGCUCAUAGCUGAGGAGCCUGACGUGGGACUCGAUCCCAGAACGCCAGGAUCACGCCCUGAGCCGAAGGCAGAUGCUUAGCGACUGCACCACCCAGGUGCCCCGACCUUAGAAUCUGAUACAUGAGAUUUCCGCCUGUCGGUUAUUUGGAAUACAAUGAAAUAUGCACUGUAGAAACUGCCAUUCGAGUAUUUAUUGUCUCAUUUCUAUUUAAUCAAAAAUUUAAAAGUGCUCGAAGUGUCGAGAUGUGCGGGCGGUGUCUGAGAGCUCUGAUGGACCGAGGGAUAAAUGUUAAUUACACAUCCGGGGAGGUGAUAAAUGGGCCGUGACGCUGAGAUGAAGUUCCAUCACCCCGAAGAGGAGGCCAGCCGGAAGAAGAGGGUGCUUGAAGGUGGGGAAGCUGAGAAAGUCGCAGGGCCGGCCGCAGGGCCUCAGCAAGGUGCACACAGGGCGGGACAGCGGCCCGGGCUCCCCCGGGGCAGGCCUUCCGGUGGAGACCUGCUGCGCCAGUGGCAUCUCGCACGACCACGGUCCACGCGGAGCCGGCAGAUGUGAGCACGCAGAGAGAGCACAAGCAGAGGGAGCAGCAGAGGGAGCGGGAGAAGCAGCCUCCCCCGUGAGCAGGGAGCCCAACGCGGGUCUCCGUCCCAGGACUCCGGGAUCAUGACCUGAGCCGAAGGUAGACGCUUCACCGACUGAGCCAGCCAGGCGCCCUGGUCUACACUUAUGAAGGAAUCAUUGGAUUAUGGCGUAUGUGUACGCGUAGUUUUUAUAAAUACUGCCGAGCAGUUUUCCAAAGUGACUGUGCCCAUUCACGCUCAUGGAGCAGAGUGCCGUGCUUCUAUCUGUCCCACGUUUUCUCCGACACUUAGCGUGUGCAUAUAUAUUUAAACUUUCGGGCAUUUUGGUGAAUGUGUAGUGGAACUACACUGUGGUUUUAAUUUCCCUGAUGACUAAUUAUAUUGGGUACCUGUCACAUGCUUGUUUCCUUUUGUAUAUCCUUUAUUAUGAAAAAUACAUCUAAUAUUUUUCUAA